Long non-coding RNA from Harpegnathos saltator (Jerdon's jumping ant), 935 nucleotides. RefSeq lists it as uncharacterized. The transcript has 3 exons. NCBI's taxonomy places the organism in Eukaryota, Metazoa, Arthropoda, Insecta, Hymenoptera, Formicidae. The record is from RefSeq and is a predicted model, not a curated record.
UAGUUCAGCAGUGCAGCGAAAAAGAAUAGACCCUCUGUCGUUCUUUACUUGUGUAAAUUACUGCUCGUUUUGUGAUACCGUAUGCACUAGGACGCUAAUAUAAUAAGCGAAGAAGAAAAAGAAGAGGCCUAAAGGGUUUUUGGUUUAUACGAGAUCGAUAAAGCCCUACGGACUAAAAACAACGAAAAGAAUAAUUAAUAUAGGAAUGAUUUGAAACUCGCAGUGUACAGAAUGUAUUCGGAUGCUAUAACCUGUAAAUUCAACACGCAUUGUCGUUUGCUCGCAUCAUUUUGGGUUUUUAAUGGUUUUAGAUAUAUUUCGUGUGGAGAGAAAUUGUUUAAACUACCGUUUGAAGAAUAUAUUUCGAAGAAAUUUACAGUACGAUGCCGCUGCAUGUGAAUAACAGAUUUGGAUAAUAAUUUAAUAAUGAAGCAAAUCCAUUUGGAAACUAACAAUUCGCGUUGCUAUAAGCAUCUUCAUGUGGUAUCGAAAAGGCAACAAAGAAUCAGAUUAACCCGCCAGAAACAAACUAUAAAAAAAAACAGUUGAUGUGACAAAAUCACUUUUGUUACAUAAUAGUUUGAUUCGUCCUGUAAACAUUUCACUUAAAAACUUUACUAAAAAUAUUAUACAAUCUCAAAACUUUAAAGACGUAAAUUACUUUGUACAAGAGACACUGGCUCCGAUUGUACAACUCUUUCCUGACAAAAAAUCUUUUCAUUUAUAUACAAACAAUCCCAGAUAGCCAAAUCUGUGCAAAUAGAUUUCGAGCAGAUGUUGUUAUAAUUUUUGACGGCAAAAAAGAAGCAAAUUUAACACAGAAUUUGUUUAUCUGAUCGUGUCGACAAACUGUUACCAAAAAUGUAACAAAGCUUGAUGACAGGAAAUCCGAGCAGAUUGGCAGCAAAAACUAAACAGAGUCUGUUACAAUCUAA